AUGGUCCUUAUUUGCAUUUUUCAGAGCCCAGAUAUUCCUGCUCAACUAAUUCUAGUGCUAGGAUAGGAAUUCAAUUCAUAUGACGAUGCAUUCAAUUUUUUUAAUGACUACGCCAAACAUGCUGGGUUCGGGAUAAGGAAAGGACAGAGAAAUAAGAAGAAACACUACUUAUAUUGCAUACACUCUGGCAAAUACAUAUCCUCUAUUCACGAGGCAGACCGUUAGCGCAACAAAGUAACAAAAAGAACUGAUUGCAAGACAAUGAUGCUCUUGAAAGAAAGAGACGACGGGACUUGUGUUGUCAAAGAGAUUGUGAUUGAACACAACCACAGGCUCCUCAAUAGCCCGUCCGCGCUUGUGUUUCUGCAUUCACACAAGACGAUAGAUCCAACAGUGAAAGAAUACAUAAAAGACCUAUAUAAGACAAAUGUUAAGCAUGUGAAUAUCAUGAGUAUCCUUUCUUGGUUACCUGGUGGGCGCGACAAAUUACCUUUUACAGACAAGGAUGUGCUUAACAAGUAA
RNAcentral lists this ribosomal RNA (522 nucleotides) under Triticum aestivum (bread wheat). Its description in RNAcentral is "partial small subunit ribosomal RNA". Lineage: Eukaryota; Viridiplantae; Streptophyta; Magnoliopsida; Poales; Poaceae. The record is from RNAcentral.